GGCCGCGGGAAUUCGAUUCAGGCCUAACACAUGCAAGUCGAGCGAAUUGUCAGAGGUGCUUGCACCUCUCGAUUUUAGCGGCGGACGGGUGAGUAACACGUGGGUAACCUACCUAUAAGACUGGGAUAACUUCGGGAAACCGGAGCUAAUACCGGAUAAUAUUUAGCUUCGCAUGAAGCAAUAGUGAAAGACGGUUCUGCUGUCACUUAUAGAUGGACCUGCGGUGUAUUAGCUAGUUGGUGAGGUAACGGCUCACCAAGGCAACGAUACAUAGCCGACCUGAGAGGGUGAUCGGCCACACUGGGACUGAGACACGGCCCAGACUCCUACGGGAGGCAGCAGUAGGGAAUCUUCCGCAAUGGACGAAAGUCUGACGGAGCAAGGCCGCGUGAGUGAAGAAGGUUUUCGGAUCGUAAAACAAAGGGUAAGGGAAGAACAAGUACGUUAGUAACUGAACGUACCUUGAC
RNAcentral lists this ribosomal RNA (467 nucleotides) under uncultured bacterium. RNAcentral's name for it is "partial 16S ribosomal RNA". It matches the Rfam family "Bacterial small subunit ribosomal RNA", at positions 39 to 484 of the family's 1533-position model. The record is from RNAcentral.